Molecule: ribosomal RNA, 253 nt
Filed under: uncultured bacterium
Lineage: Bacteria
Description: partial 16S ribosomal RNA
Rfam family: Bacterial small subunit ribosomal RNA
Source: RNAcentral
UACGAAGGGGGCUAGCGUUGUUCGGAAUCACUGGGCGUAAAGCGCACGUAGGCGGAUCUUUAAGUCAGGGGUGAAAUCCUGGAGCUCAACUCCAGAACUGCCUUUGAUACUGGGGAUCUCGAGUCCGGAAGAAGUGAGUGGAACUCCGAGUGUAGAGGUGAAAUUCGUAGAUAUUCGGAAGAACACCAGUGGCGAAGGCGGCUCACUGGUCCGGUACUGACGCUGAGGUGCGAAAGCGUGGGGAGCAAACAGG